Molecule: long non-coding RNA, 2901 nt
Filed under: Salmo salar (Atlantic salmon)
Lineage: Eukaryota; Metazoa; Chordata; Actinopteri; Salmoniformes; Salmonidae
Description: lncRNA (ENSSSAG00000085136.1)
Source: RNAcentral
CUAAGCAAAUGUUGCAAUGGAGAUGAAGCUUGUAAACGCUACCCAAAUAUCCUUCAGUCAUGGAGAAUAGUAUUAGCUCCUGUCUGAAGCUCACAAUCACAUAUCUCACUGGACACACAGACUUCCACAUGGCACCCUAUGCAAGUAUAGUACAAUCCUCUCCUCCCCUCUUCUCCUGUUGUUAGUAUACAGUGCUGCUGGCUGCCUGUGAUUGUUCAUGUCUAUGCAUGAGUAUGUGUUUGUCUGCAUUCAUGGACCUGUUGGAUGUGAAUGUGUGUACAUGCAAAUGUGGGCUUCUGUGUGUGGCAGAGAGUGCCAUUUAGUGGCAGCAGCCAGGUCACACAUGUUACAAGUCAGUAUUGGACGUCCAUCCAUGUCUGAGGUCAUCGGGAGAUGACGUGGAAACCGGCCUCUCGGGGCAACAGUGAGCGCUGUUUCGGUUUAGUUUUUUGGUAGGUUUGGGUUUUAGUAGGGCAUUGUGGACGGGGAUGGUGGAUGGGCGUAAGCAUCUGCCUCUGAUUCCAAAGGUUGCAGGUUUGAAUCCAGCGAUAUCAAGUAAUUUUUAUUUUAAGCCUAUCCUAAACCUUAACCCUUAGCUUAACCAUUCGGAGUUAAUGCCUAAACCUAACCUUAAAAACUUUGAAAUUUGACGUUUGCAACAAUUUCAAAGCGUCUAAUUCUGAUGUGAAACUGUGAGAACUAGUUGUUUUCAGAUGGAUCCUCUGCAGUCCAGCUGCUGUGUGUGUGUGUGUGUGUGUGUGUGUGUGUGUGUGUGUUGGUGUGUGUUAGUGCUGUGUGUUAGUGGUGUGCGUUAGUGCUGUGUGUUAGUGGUGUGUGUUAGUGGCAUGUGUGUUAGUGGUGUGUGUUAGUGGUGUGUGUUAGUGGUGUGUGUUAGUGCUGUGUGUUAGUGGUGUGUGUUAGUGGUGUGUGUGUUAGUGGUGUGUGUUAGUGGUGUGUGUUAGUGGUGUGUGUUAGUGGUGUGUGUUAGUGCUGUGUGUUAGUGGUGUGUGUUAGUGGUGUGUGUUAGUGGUGUGUGUUAGUGGUGUGUGUUAGUGCUGUGUGUUAGUGGUGUGUGUUAGUGGUGUGUGUUAGUGGCAUGUGUGUUAGUGGCAUGUGUGUUAGUGGUGUGUGUUAGUGGUGUGUGUUAGUGCUGUGUGUUAGUGGUGUGUGUUAGUGGUGUGUGUUAGUGGUGUGUGUUAGUGGUGUGUGUGUUAGUGGUGUGUGUUAGUGGUGUGUGUUAGUGGUGUGUGUUAGUGGUGUGUGUUAGUGGCAUGUGUGUUAGUGGUGUGUGUUAGUGGUGUGUGUUAGUGGUGUGUGUUAGUGGUGUGUGUUAGUGGUGUGUGUUAGUGGCAUGUGUGUUAGUGGUGUGUGUUAGUGGUGUGUGUUAGUGCUGUGUGUUAGUGGUGUGUGUUAGUGGCGUGUGUUAGUGGCGUGUGUUAGUGGUGUGUGUUAGUGCUGUGUGUUAGUGGUGUGUGUUAGUGGCGUGUGUUAGUGGCGUGUGUUAGUGGCGUGUGUUAGUGGCGUGUGUUAGUGGUGUGUGUUAGUGCUGUGUGUUAGUGGUGUGUGUUAGUGGUGUGUGUGUUAGUGGUGUGUGUUAGUGGUGUGUGUUAGUGGUGUGUGUUAGUGGUGUGUGUUAGUGGCGUGUGUUAGUGGCGUGUGUUAGUGGCGUGUGUUAGUGGCGUGUGUUAGUGCUGUGUGUUAGUGGUGUGUGUUAGUGGCGUGUGUUAGUGGCGUGUGUUAGUGGUGUGUGUUAGUGGUGUGUGUUAGUGCUGUGUGUUAGUGGUGUGUGUGUUAGUGGUGUGUGUUAGUGGUGUGUGUUAGUUCUGUGUGGUAGUGGUGUGUGUUAGUGGCAUGUGUGUUAGUGGUGUGUGUUAGUGGUGUGUGUUAGUGGCGUGUGUUAGUGGCGUGUGUUAGUGGUGUGUGUUAGUGGUGUGUGUUAGUGCUGUGUGUUAGUGGUGUGUGUUAGUGGUGUGUGUUAGUGGUGUGUGUGUUAGUGGUGUGUGUUAGUGGUGUGUGUUAGUGGUGUGUGUGUUAGUGGUGUGUGUUAGUGGUGUGUGUUAGUUCUGUGUGGUAGUGGUGUGUGUUAGUGGCAUGUGUGUUAGUGGUGUGUGUUAGUGGUGUGUGUUAGUGGCGUGUGUUAGUGGUGUGUGUUAGUGGUGUGUGUUAGUGGUCUGUGUUAGUGCUGUGUGUUAGUGGUGUGUGUUAGUGUUCUGUUACAGCACUACGCAACACAACCCCAGGGUAAGACUGGAUACCACAGCCGUAUAAUGCUACUAUAGGACCCUCUGUUUGGUACGUAGCCAAAGAAAAACAGCCCAACAACAAUUUAAUAUCUCAUGAUCUCUAUGUUCUACUUCUGAGAUGGUUGUUGUGAUUGUUAAAAAUAUUAAAUUAAGCAAAUUUCUGUAUUUUGUUGUUGUUGAUAGAAACAAUAAAUGAUCCAGACAGAAAUACAACCCAAUCAAAAGCACCAGGCACAAAGCAGCAUCCUAAUGAAUGUAAAUACAGAGAAUUAGUUCACAUGUCCUCUACACCAUACCCACGCCCCCUCCACUGCCUCUGCUGCCAUUCACACACAGCCCUCAUCCUCCAUCCAGACCUCUGUGCCCUGUCCAUCUUGCUCUCUACCAACAGUUAGCAUUAGCUACCCAGCGGAAUGAAGAGAAAGCACAAUACCUGUUUUAUAGUUGUCAGCCUCCUUUCUUCUCCUCUUUUUCCUCCUUCCCUCGUUCCCUUCUUCCCUCGUUCCCUUCUUCCACAAAGGAGCCGAGCGGAGCAGGAAUGAAUCCUUCCCGCGAUGUGAAAAUGGCACCAGUAUUCCCUGUCAGCCGCGGCAGCCUCUCUCUCUAUUUCUCCCUCUCACUCACGCUCUCACUCUCUAGCUUGCCUCCCUCCUUCCCC